This 484-nucleotide ribosomal RNA is filed under the name uncultured bacterium. RNAcentral describes it as "partial 16S ribosomal RNA". It matches the Rfam family "Bacterial small subunit ribosomal RNA", at positions 29 to 523 of the family's 1533-position model. The record is from RNAcentral.
AGUGAACGCUGGCGGCGUGCUUAACACAUGCAAGUCGAACGAGAACGGGUUAUAGCUUGCUAUAAUUGUCAGCUAAGUGGCGCACGGGUGAGUAAUGUAUAGGUAAUAUGCCUCUUACUAAGGGAUAACAAAUGGAAACGUUUGCUAAUACCUUAUACUCCUUAUUAACAGAAGUUAAUAAGGGAAAGAUUUAUUGGUAAGAGAUUAGCCUGUAUUGUAUCAGUUAGUUGGUGGGGUAAUGGCUUACCAAGACUAUGACACAUAACUGGUUUGAGAGGAUGAUCAGUCACACUGGAACGGAGACACGGUCCAGACUCCUACGGGAGGCAGCAGUGGGGAAUAUUGCAAAAUGGACGAAAGUCUGAUGCAGCACCGCCGCGUGGAGGAUGACACAUUUCGGAGCGUAAACUCCUUUUAUAUGAGAAGAUAAUGACGGUAUUAUAUGAAUAAGCACCGGCUAACUCCGUGCCAGCCGCCGCCGUAA